UACAGAGGGUGCGAGCGUUGUCCGGAAUCACUGGGCGUAAAGGGCGCGUAGGCGGCUUGGCAAGUCGGGUGUGAAAUCCCGGGGCUCAACCCCGUGACUGCAUUCGAUACUGUCAGGCUAGAGGUAGGUAGGGGAGAUCGGAAUUCCUGGUGUAGCGGUGAAAUGCGCAGAUAUCAGGAGGAACACCGGUGGCGAAGGCGGAUCUCUGGGCCUUACCUGACGCUCAGGCGCGAAAGCUAGGGGAGCGAACAGG
This 253-nucleotide ribosomal RNA is filed under the name uncultured bacterium. RNAcentral describes it as "partial 16S ribosomal RNA". It matches the Rfam family "Bacterial small subunit ribosomal RNA", at positions 524 to 776 of the family's 1533-position model. The record is from RNAcentral.